AAAGCGUUUGAAAGGAGUAAAACUGAACUCGCCAAAGCAGUCUGUCUCGCUCACCCUAAAGAAAGUGCUCCACUUGCCUUGGUAACAGACGCUUCUGAUUUUGCUCUUGGCGCCGUCGUACAACAACUUGUCGAUGAUAUCUGGCAACCACUUGGAUUUCAUAGUAGGAAGCUCAGCGCCGCCGAGAGAAACUACGCUCCUUAUGACAGGGAGUUAUUGGCUAUCUACGAUUCUGUCAAGAAGUUUCGUUACUUGCUGGAGGGACACGAGUUUGUCAUUUAUACGGAUCAGAAAGCCCUUGAAUUUGCAUUCACGAAAAAUAGAACGGACUGUUCUCCUCGCCAGAUUCGCCACUUACAGUUUAUUGGUGAGUUCUGCACGGACAUCAGGUAUGUACCUGGGAAAGCGAACAUUGUCGCCGACGCCCUUUCCAGAGUUGACGCGCUGACGUCAAACAAAAAUAGCAUUUCCUUUUUAGAAGUAGCAAACGCGCAGAAAGAUGACCCAGAAAUUAAGGACUACCUUUUGCCAACUAGCUCGCUACGUCUGAAACAAUUUCCUGUCUCCGAUUCUAACGAGAUGAUUUGGUGUGAUACAACGACUGAAAUUGCUCGCCCUUUUCUACCACAAAAAUUUAGACGUGAAGCAUUCGAUGGUCUGCACCGACUGGCUCAUCCUGGAGUGAAAGCCUCCGUAAAGCUAGUGAUUCAACGUUUUGUCUGGCCUGGAAUGAAAAAUGACUGCAAAAACUGGGCCCGCACAUGCUUGGAAUGCCAAAAAUCGAAGAUAACUCGCCAUAACCAAGCUCCAUUUAAGCCAUUUCCUAUAAUUUCAGAACGCUUUUCUGUUUUGCAUGCAGAUCUGAUUGGUCCUCUACCGCCUUCUGAAGGUAACCGCUAUUGUCUGACGUUAAUUGACCGUUUCACACGCUGGCCAGAAGUAAUCCCUCUUGCCUCUAUCACCAGCGAAGCGGUCAUACGUGCUCUCAAAGAUGGCUGGAUUAGUAGAUUUGGUCUUCCAAUCAAGUUGAUUUGUGAUCAAGGAAGACAGUUUACUUCUAAAACCUUCAAGACGUUUGCUGAGAAAGCAGGUAUAGAAAUUCGCCAUACAAAUGCUUAUCAUCCACAGUCCAACGGCCUCAUUGAGCGAUUUCAUCGCACCCUGAAGGCCGCCCUGAUGUGCCAUUCGACGACCUGGUCAGCCGCGCUAGCACCUGUUCUUCUUGGCUUACGUUCAGCAUUGAAGGAAGACCUUGGUUAUUCGGCUGCCCAGAUGGUUUACGGAGAAAGUAUUCGCUUGCCAGGAGAGUUUUUCGUUGAACCUCAAAAUCAGAUGACUCCGACCGAAAUGCUCCUGCGACUUCAAAGUCAUCUCUCUCAUCUUUGCCCGCAACCAGUAUGGCAUAAUUCCAAGAAGAAAUUUUUUGUACAUCCUGAACUCGCUAUUUCCACGCACGUUUUACUCCGGUGUGAGCAGCGUGCACCUCUCACACCGCAGUAUUCUGGUCCACAUAAAGUACUGCAAAGAGGUGAGAAAUCUUUUAUUAUUGACUACAAAGGACAGCGAAAAACCGUUUCAAUCGACCGCUUAAAACCUGCAUUCAUCGAAGCAAUUUUGCCGAAAGAGCAGAAGGAAGCACCUUGGAUAACACUGACGCCUGCAGAAAAUGUGCAGCAACCUGCCGCACAGCAACCCGAUGUGCAGCAGCCUGUCGUGCCGCAGCCCGCCGCACAGCAGCCAACUGUACAGCCGCCUGUCGCACCGCAACGUGCCGUGCAACAGCCGCCAGAUCGACCUGCAGAGCCUGCUAAUGAACCUCAACCAGGUCCUUCGUGUGCUGCUCCCCAAACACCGUCAGCCAGAAAACCAAACCCAGCGCCAAGUGCCCCACAACGCAAAACUGUUCGAAUUCAGCCACCGCCAACCAAGACUCAACCUCAAACAACUCGUUUUGGCAGAACGAUAAAGCUUCCGGACCGUUAUGGUACUUCCUCGACUUCCAGUCUUCAGUCCGGGGGCUGUAUGGUGGCUGCCGAAAGGUGGCGCUCUCUCCUACCCUGGCUGCCUGAGUAUAUCCGUGUUAACCUGAUAAGGAGUUAUUCUAAACUCGACGAUAAACGUGUGCGGUAGCAGCAAAUAUUGCUCCCUCGGCCGCACAUUUUAGGAGUUCGUUAACCUUGAGCACAUAGCUCCCUUUUACGAACCCUAUAAUUGACGAAUAAUUGAACUACCCUGUUUGUAUAUUGCCAAUCUCUGACAACUCCCUUUUAGGGGUAAGCUUAUGUUAUUAUAUAUAUAUUGUGUUGUGUUAUAUUAAUUGAGUUAUUAUUUUAUUCUUGUCAUUUUUAUAUAUUAUAUUUUAAUAAUUGACAAUGGCCUUUUGCCUUUUUAAUGUGUUUAGUUUUAACAUUCUUUUCUAUGCAUUUAUGGAAUUUAUUAUAUUAUUUCAGACUAAAUUACGGCAAAUACAAUAAAGGCAUUGCAACAA
This is a long non-coding RNA of Cloeon dipterum, 2488 nucleotides long. RefSeq lists it as uncharacterized. The transcript has 2 exons. Lineage: Eukaryota; Metazoa; Arthropoda; Insecta; Ephemeroptera; Baetidae. The record is from RefSeq and is a predicted model, not a curated record.